GGUGGCUUAGUGGUUAAGCACUCAGCUGCUAACUGAAAGGUCGAUGGUUCAAACCCACCAGCCACCC
Molecule: transfer RNA, 67 nt
Organism: Loxodonta africana (African savanna elephant)
Lineage: Eukaryota; Metazoa; Chordata; Mammalia; Proboscidea; Elephantidae
Rfam family: tRNA
About the family: Transfer RNA (tRNA) molecules are approximately 80 nucleotides in length. Their secondary structure includes four short double-helical elements and three loops (D, anti-codon, and T loops). Further hydrogen bonds mediate the characteristic L-shaped molecular structure. tRNAs have two regions of fundamental functional importance: the anti-codon, which is responsible for specific mRNA codon recognition, and the 3' end, to which the tRNAs corresponding amino acid is attached (by aminoacyl-tRNA synthetases). tRNAs cope with the degeneracy of the genetic code in two manners: having more than one tRNA (with a specific anti-codon) for a particular amino acid; and 'wobble' base-pairing, i.e. permitting non-standard base-pairing at the 3rd anti-codon position.
Source: Rfam